This is a long non-coding RNA of Callithrix jacchus (white-tufted-ear marmoset), 4496 nucleotides long. The record is from Ensembl. Lineage: Eukaryota; Metazoa; Chordata; Mammalia; Primates; Cebidae.
AUGCUACAAAUUGAUUCCAGACUCUUUUUUUUUUUUUUUUUUAGGAAAAAACCAUCAUUGAAACAGUUACUGGAUUUAUAUUGGAAAAUUCCUACCAGGGUGUGGCUCCUUCAAGUGCCCGCCCUUUCUCGUGAUCUCCCCAAGAACAGGCAGAGGGACAUCCUGGGAACCGACCAAGAGGCAGCUUGGAUCCUACUCCUGCCACUAAGUGCUGCACCCAAGAACAUGGGCAUGGAGAGCCAAAACCUCAGACACAUGGCAAGGCACCCACAACCUCAUUUGUGUGCUUGGACACCUGAAAAUCCUUUACCUGAUUUGCACAUGCAAAGUCAACAGCUUUCAUCUAAAGGGGCUCCAGAGGAAGAUUCUAGCCCUCAACCAUCAUGGCUAUGCAUACAGCGUGGUAACUAGAGGCAGAGGCUCAGCCUCACCUCAUCUGUAACAGAACGUUCAGAGCUGCUCAUAUAAUCCUUGUACUUGGACAUAAAUACAUCAAAGGUUUGGAAGAGAUCAUGGUAAGUCGUGAGAACAAAACUCAGAUUUGUUUAUGACACCACCCCAAAGCAAAGAUCUGAAGCGUGCUUUCAUUUUCAAAUUCAGGGUCAUUUGACACAAGCCCGAUGGUGAACUGUACCCAUGUAUUAAAAUCAAGAUGGUUUCACUCAAACAGUGAAGGGCGUCAGUCUGUGAAAACUAAAUCAAUUUUUUUUUUAAAGUCUCAUUUAACUUGCUGCAAAUCCAACCCAUUAAGUUCCCCUGUAAAGUGGAUUUAUGGAACAUGUGGAACUUGCUGGCUUCUUGGAAUAUUGCAAAGACAGAUUUUUUGAUGGAGAAUAUUAUGCACUUUUCCCUAUUUCCUAUUUCAAAUUUAUUAUUUUCUCCUUUUAAAAUAUUUUUUGCAGAGUUAAGUUUGGAUUAAGCCAAAAACCUCAACCUUUAUAUUUUAGUCCAGAACAUAUUGUAAGUACACUUGAAAGUAAAUUUUAAAGCACUUGUUCUCUUUUAACUAAUCCAGAACAAAGAAUUUAAAAUAAACUUUCCAAGACGCUUAUCAAUUUCAAGAUGUACAAAAAUUUUUCAACACAUGAAAAUCUUAAUUUUAAAUGCAUGUUAUUUAUAUCAUCAAAAAUACAUGUUCAAUAUGUUUUUCUCUUUUUUUGGCAUUAUAUGAGGAAAUCUUUUUUUUUAAUUUUUUUAUUGCAUUUUAGAUUUUGGGGUACAUGUGCAGAACAUGCAAGACAGUUGCAUAGGUACACACAUGGCAGUGUGUUUUGCUUCCUUUCACCCCUUCACCCACAUUUGGCAUUUCUCCCCAGGCUUCCCUCCCCAGCUCCCCCCCCGCUGACCCUCCCCUUUUCCCCCCAAUAGACCCCAGUGUUUAGUACGCCCCUCCCUGUCUCCAUGUGCUCUCAUUUUUCAUCACCCGCCUAUGAGUGAGAAUAUGCAGUAUUUCAUUUUCUGUUCUUGUGUCAGUUUGCUGAGAAUAAUGUUCUCCAGAUUCAUCCAUGUCCCUACAAACGACACGAACUCAUCAUUUCUGAUUGCUGCAUAAUAUUCCAUGGUGUAUAUGUGCCACAUUUUCCCAAUCCAGUCUAUCAUCGAUGGACAUUUGGGUUGGUUCCAGGUCUUUGUUAUUGUAAACAGUGCUGCAAUGAACAUUCAUGUGCAUGUGUCCUUAUAGUAGAACGAUUUAUAGUCCUUUGAAUAUAUACCCAGUAAUGGGAUUGCUGGGUCAAAUGGAAUUUCUAUUUCUAAGGCCUUGAGGAAUCACCACACUGUCUUCCACAAUGGUUGAACUAAUUUACACUCCCACCAACAGUGUAAAAGUGUUCCUUUUUCUCCACAUCCUCUCCAGCAUCUGUUGUCUCCAGAUUUUUGUUUUUUUUUUUUUUUUUUUUUUGAGACGGAGUUUCGGGCUUGUUACCCAGGCUGGAGUGCAAUGGCAGGAUCUCAGCUCAUGGCAACCUCCGCCUCCUGGGUUCAAGCAAUUCUCCUGCCUCAGCCUCCCGAGUAGCUGGGAUUACAGGCAUGCACCACCAUGCCCAGCUAAUUUUUUGUAUAUUUUUUUAGUAGAGAUGGGGUUUCACUAUGUUGGCCAGGAUGGUCUCUAUCUCUUGACCUUGUGAUCCACCCGCCUCGGCCUCCCAAAGUGCUGAGAUUACAGGCUUGAGCCACUGCGCCCGGCCUGUCUCCAGAUUUUUUAAUGAUCGCCAUUCUAACUGGUGUGAGAUGGUAUCUCAAUGUGGUUUUGAUUUGCAUCUCUCUGAUGACCAGUGACGAUGAGCAUUUUUUCAUAUGAUUCUUGGCCUCAUAUAUGGCUUCUUUCGUAAAGUGUCUGUUCAUAUCCUUUGCCCACUUUUGAAUGGGCUUGUUUGUUUUUUUCUUGUAAAUCUGUUUGAGUUCUUUGUAAAUUCUGGAUAUCAGCCCUUUGUCAGAUGGGUAGACUGCAAAAAUUUUUUCCCAUUCUGUUGGUUGCCGAUUCACUCUAGUGACUGUUUCUUUUGCUGUGCAGAAGCUGUGGAGUUUGAUUAGGUCCCAUUUGUCUAUUUUGGCUUUUGUUGCCAAUGCUUUUGGUGUUUUGUUCAUGAAGUUCUUGCUUACUCCUAUGUCCUGGAUAGUUUUGCCUAGAUUCCCUUCUAGGGUUUUUAUGGUGCCAGGUCUUAUGUUUAAGUCUUUAAUCCAUCUGGAGUUAAUUUUAGUGUAAGGUGUCAGGAAGGGGUCCAGUUUCUGCUUUCUGCACAUGGCUAGCCAGUUUUCCCAACACCAUUUGUUAAACAGGGAAUCCUUUCCCCAUUGCUUGUUUUUGUCAGGUUUAUCAAAGAUUGUAUGGUUGUAGAUCUGUUGUGUUGCCUCCAAUGCCUCUGUUCUGUUCCAUUGGUCUGUAUCUUUGUUUUGGUACCAGUACCAUGCUGUUUUGAUUACUGUAGACUUGUAGUAUAGUUUGAAAUCCGGCAGUGUGAUGCCCCCCGCUGUGUUCUUUUUGCUUAGAAUUGACUUGGCUAUGCGGGCUGUCUUUUGGUUCCAUGUGAAGUUCAUGGUGGUUUUUUCCAGUUCUGUGAAGAAAGUCAACAGUAGCUUGAUGGGGAUAGCGUUGAUUCUGUAAAUUACUUUGGGCAGUAUAGCCAUUUUCAUGAUAUUAAUUCUUCCUGACCAUGAACAUGGAAUGUUUCUCCAUCUGUUUGUGUCCUCUCUGAUUUUGUUGAGCAGUGGUUUGUAAUUUUCCUUGAAGAGUUCCUUGUGAGUUGUAUUCCUAGGUAUUUUAUUCUUUUUGUAGCAAUUGUGAAUGGCAGUUCAUUCUUGGUUUGGCUUUCUUUAAGUCUGUUAUUGGUGUAGAGGAAUGCUUGUGAUUUUUGCACAUUGAUUUUAUAUCCUGAGACUUUGCUGAAGUUGCUUAUCAGUUUCAGUAGUUUUUGGGCUGAGGCGAUGGGGUCUUCUAGGUAUACGAUCAUGUCGUCUGCAAAUAGAGACAAUUUGGCUUCCACCUUUCCUAUUUGAAUGCCCUUUAUUUCUUUUUCUUGCCUGAUUGCUCUGGCUAGAACUUCCAGUACUAUAUUGAAUAGGAAUGGUGAAAGAGGGCAUCCUUGUCUAGUGCCAGAUUUCAAAGGAAAUGCUUCCAGUUUUUGCCCAUUCAGUAUGAUAUUGGCUGUUGGUUUGUCAUAAGUAGCUUUUAUUACUUUGAGAUACGUUCCAUCGAUACCAAGUUUAUUGAGGGUUUUUAGCAUAAAGGGCUGUUGAAUUUUGUUGAAUGCCUUCUCUGUGUCAAUUGAGAUAAUCAUGUGGUUUUUGUUUUCGGUUAUGUUUAUGUGGUGAAUUACGUUUAUAGACUUGCAUAUGUUGAACCAGCCUUGCAUCCCCAGGAUAAAUCCUACUUGAUCAUGAUGGAUAAGUUUUUUGAUUUGCUGUUGCAAUCGGCUUGCCAAUAUUUUAUUGAAGAUUUUUGCAUCUGUGUUCAUCAUGGAUAUUGGCCUGAAGUUUUCUUUUCUUGCUGGUUCUCUGCCGGGUUUUGGUAUCAGGAUGAUAUUGGUCUCAUAAAAUGAUUUGGGAAGGAUUCCCUCUUUUUGGAUUAUUUGGAAUAGUUUCAGAAGAAAUGGUACAAGCUCCUCUUUGUAUGUCUGGUAGAAUUCGGCUGUGAACCCAUCUGGACCUGGCUUUUUUUAUGUGGUAGGCUCUUAAUUGCUGCCUCGACUUCUGACCUUGUUAUUGGUCUAUUCAUAGUUUCAGCUUCCUCCUGGUUUAGGCUUGGGAGGACACAGGAGUCCAGGAAUGUAUCCAUUUCUUCCAGGUUUACUAGUUUAUGUGCAUAGAGUUGUUUGUAAUAUUCUCUGAUGAUGGUUUGAAUUUCUGUGGAAUCUGUGGUGAUUUCCCCUUUAUCAUGUUUUAUUGCACCUAUUUGGUUGUUCUCUCUUUUCUUUUUAAUCAAUCUGGCUAGUGGUUUGUCUAUUUUGUUGAUCUUUUCAAAAAUCCAGCUCUUGGAUUUAUUGAUUUUCCUCACCUAG